UGUUCCUGUUUGAAAACAGGCAAGGAAGGAGAUAUAAAAGAACUGGAAAUCAAGGAGAACUGCGUCCAGAAACAUUUUUUGAUGUGGGAGGACACCUGAACACUUUGUAGUGUACUCCCUGUACAGCUGGAAAUGGCAUUUUCGGUGUUGGGCUGUCAGUGCUCAUGUUGCAGAAAAUCCAGCAUUUCAGGCUGGCAGUGCCAUUAAAAGGAGGAGGACCUGUAUACUCUGCCCUUCCAUUUGCUUUCACAAGCAUUUGCAGAGGAUGUAGAGAAUUGGAUCAGUUCCCUCAUCUGCUGUGCCGUGUGCCUGCAUGAGUACUUGUGUUAGCAGAGGGGAGAGGGUGACGUGAGCACGUGGGAACAGUGUCGUGGGACAGCAAGACUGCUUUUUCUGGUUAGGGUAGAGAUUGGCUUGGUAUUUGAACACAAAAAGCACUAUGAACAAAAUAUAUCAUGUGUCUUCUGUCACCAUAUUAAUCUUUAAUAUUAUGAUGCAUUAUAGCACAUAGAUCUCAGAUCUGUAGACCAAAAUUUUGUCAGAAAAUGUACAUUAUUCUUUUCAAAUGAAUUUGCUAAUAAAAUGUUUCAUAAAAGUUCA
Phalacrocorax carbo (great cormorant) is the source of this 600-nucleotide non-coding RNA. The record is from RefSeq and is a predicted model, not a curated record. NCBI's taxonomy places the organism in Eukaryota, Metazoa, Chordata, Aves, Suliformes, Phalacrocoracidae.